This 157-nucleotide small RNA is filed under the name Chelonoidis abingdonii (Abingdon island giant tortoise). Its description in RNAcentral is "TUC338 (ENSCABG00000015648.1)". Lineage: Eukaryota; Metazoa; Chordata; Testudines; Testudinidae. The record is from RNAcentral.
UUCUCAGUCCUAGAGACUGAAGUUCUCUUUAGUUAUAGCAGUAGAAGCUUCCCCACGCAACCCCUGAUCGUUCUGUGCCCUCAGCCCUGACCUGGAGGGAUCACAUUUAGGGUAAGAGAAAAAUCCAGUCCUUAUGCCCAUUAUACUUUUGACCUCU